RNAcentral lists this ribosomal RNA (496 nucleotides) under uncultured bacterium. RNAcentral's name for it is "partial 16S ribosomal RNA". It matches the Rfam family "Bacterial small subunit ribosomal RNA", at positions 29 to 507 of the family's 1533-position model. The record is from RNAcentral.
ACGAACGCUGGCGGCGUGCCUAAUACCUGCAAGUUGAGCGCUGAAGGUUGGUACUUGUACCAACUGGAUGAGCAGCGAACGGGUGAGUAACGCGUGGGGAAUCUGCCUUUGAGCGGGGGACAACAUUUGGAAACGAAUGCUAAUACCGCAUAAAAACUUUAAACACAAGUUUUAAGUUUGAAAGAUGCAAUUGCAUCACUCAAAGAUGAUCCCGCGUUGUAUUAGCUAGUUGGUGAGGUAAAGGCUCACCAGGGCGAUGAUACAUAGCCGACCUGAGAGGGUGAUCGGCCACAAUGGGACUGAGACACGGCCCAAACUCCUACGGGAGGCAGCAGUAGGGGAUCUUCGGCAAUGGACGAAAGUCUGACCGAGCAACGCCGCGUGAGUGAAGAAGGUUUUCGGAUCGUAAAACUCUGUUGGUAGAGAAGAACGUUGGUGAGAGUGGAAAGCUCAUCAAGUGACGGUAACUACCCAGAAAGGGACGGCUAACUACGUG